GAUCUCGUAGCUCAGCUGGUAGAGCACAACACUUUUAAUGUUGGGGUCNNACAAGUUUUAGACACCC
RNAcentral lists this transfer RNA (67 nucleotides) under Alistipes sp. RNAcentral describes it as "tRNA-Lys". The stretch from base 1 to 59 matches the Rfam family "tRNA". Rfam says of the family: Transfer RNA (tRNA) molecules are approximately 80 nucleotides in length. Their secondary structure includes four short double-helical elements and three loops (D, anti-codon, and T loops). Further hydrogen bonds mediate the characteristic L-shaped molecular structure. tRNAs have two regions of fundamental functional importance: the anti-codon, which is responsible for specific mRNA codon recognition, and the 3' end, to which the tRNAs corresponding amino acid is attached (by aminoacyl-tRNA synthetases). tRNAs cope with the degeneracy of the genetic code in two manners: having more than one tRNA (with a specific anti-codon) for a particular amino acid; and 'wobble' base-pairing, i.e. permitting non-standard base-pairing at the 3rd anti-codon position. The record is from RNAcentral. Lineage: Bacteria; Pseudomonadati; Bacteroidota; Bacteroidia; Bacteroidales; Rikenellaceae.